GACGAACGCUGGCGGCGUGCUUAACACAUGCAAGUCGAACGCUGAAGCUCAGCUUGCUGGGUGGCUGAGUGGCGAACGGGUGAGUAACACGUGAGUAACCUGCCCUCUUCUUUGGGAUAACGCCCGUAAACGGGUGCUAAUACUGGAUAUUCACUGAUUCUCGCAUGGGGGUUGGUGGAAAGGUUUUUUCUGGUGGGGGAUGGGCUCGCGGCCUAUCAGCUUGUUGGUGGGGUGAUGGCCUACCAAGGCUUUGACGGGUAGCCGGCCUGAGAGGGUGACCGGUCACAUUGGGACUGAGAUACGGCCCAGACGCCUACGGGAGGCAGCAGUGGGGAAUAUUGCACAAUGGGCGAAAGCCUGAUGCAGCGACGCCGCGUGAGGGAUGGAGGCCUUCGGGUUGUAAACCUCUUUCGCUCAUGGUCAAGCCGCAGCUUUGGGUUGUGGUGAGGGUAGUGGGUAAAGAAGCGCCGGCUAACUACGUG
Molecule: ribosomal RNA, 482 nt
Filed under: uncultured bacterium
Lineage: Bacteria
Description: partial 16S ribosomal RNA
Rfam family: Bacterial small subunit ribosomal RNA
Source: RNAcentral